AGAUACCAGUCAGACGUUGGCAGCGCAUGACCAACGCACGCCUGAGAUGACUGAUGUGGAUCCACAGAAAUCUGCAGACUUGCCGUGUGGGCCUCACUGUGCGCCUCUUACAUCUGUGGGCUCAAUAGAGGCCAAGCGGUCAUGCUGGUCCUUGGCUUUGCAUCCUGAUCAAGACAAAGUGCUACAUUACGUGUUGGAUCGCAGCAAGGCAGGCCAUGAGUAUAUAGUGAGGGACCACACUGUCUGCC
Long non-coding RNA from Engraulis encrasicolus (European anchovy), 248 nucleotides. RefSeq lists it as uncharacterized. The transcript has 3 exons. The record is from RefSeq and is a predicted model, not a curated record. Lineage: Eukaryota; Metazoa; Chordata; Actinopteri; Clupeiformes; Engraulidae.